Solanum lycopersicum (tomato) is the source of this 2818-nucleotide non-coding RNA. The record is from RefSeq and is a predicted model, not a curated record. Lineage: Eukaryota; Viridiplantae; Streptophyta; Magnoliopsida; Solanales; Solanaceae.
CGCGUGACUUCCCCCAAACGCGACGGAGAACCCCUCUCUCACCCGCGUCCCCCCCCCCCACGCUCUCUCCCUCCCUCGCGCAGAAGCCCCCAGACGAAACCCAGAAAAGGCAAAAGAGAAAAAAAAUGCAGAAGAGGCAGACCCUAAAGCGGAAAAUCCCCCCCAGACGCGACUUCUCUCCCCUUCGCUCUCCUCCUCUCUCUCAUCCUCUCUCCCAAGCGAGCUGCAACGACUCUUUUCGAGUCGUUUUUCUACUGCAAAUCAUACGAUUCGCGCAGGUCUGGAAGAAAAAGAAAGCUGCUCUCAUCCUUGCCACGCCAAGAUGACUCCAUGUCGCCCGCCUAGGACACUCGACUAAUCUCGACCGUCUCUCCUUCCUUUCCAUUUCUGGAAUGGGACAAAUUUUUAGAAAAAAGGGAUGCUACUCUGUAAGGGGAAAAGGAUUUCGAAUUUGAAAUUCGAAAUGGGCCUCAAGUCACGUUCCCGCCCUCCCUCUUCCGAAAACCCUAAUAUCCCCCUAUAUAAACCCCUUCCAUCUUCAAGAAAAGGGGUUAGAGAUUUUUAUCGAAAAUUUUAGAGAGGCAGAACUUGGGUUUGGAAUUUCGGAUGAAAAUUUUAGUUGGAACUUGGUCGAAAACUUUGUUUGUUCGGUCUGUUCUGGGGUUGGCGAUUUGGGUUAAAAAUCUUGGACGAAAAUUUGAGUUGAAAUUUCGUGUCUACUGUUUAGCGAGGAAGAAGAAGAAGGAGUGCUUCCCUGCUGGUUUCGUGUAUGGAAUUGCCCCUCUACUCAUCGUCCCAUUCGCUGCUCCGAAGAAGGCUGGUUAGUCGCUGCGUUGAUUGUUGCAAUGUUAUCAACCGAAUUAUCUGUUCAUUUGCAUCAUUGUUGAUUCGAUUUUGUCAAUCUUUCUAAAUGUGUUGUUCUCUUGUCAUGUUGUCGAUCUGUUCAUGUUGUUAUGGCCGUUGUCAUUUCUCUUGGUGUUAGCUACUGGUUUUCGACGAGGUAGAUGGGAUCUUUGAAUCCAUUUCCCAUUCUUAAAGUUUUAUUCAUGUUUCUUUAAGUGUUGAGUCCUGUCAUACGUCAAAUAGCUUAUAAAUGGUCUUAGUUGUUGGUUUAGUUUGAUGUCGUUCAAGUUGGUUGAAAUAUCGCUUUGGUUUGUUUAUACUCUUGUUUUGAUCAGUUAGCAAUGUUUCUUUCAUCGAAAUGGAGAAAUCGAAAUUCGUGUGUUAUCUCUUGUUUGGUUAGUUGAUGUAGUAGUUAGUUUCCUCCGGAUCCCACGAUCAGGAUUCUAUCUAGCAUACGCUAUUUCAUCUUGAUUUAUUGUCGUUUUGUUUAUUUCCUUGAAGUCAGUUAUGUAUGUCAUCUGGAUCGUCGCGGCUGUAUAUUAAAAUUUGUAUGAUGACGAAUGGGUUUAGCUAAGUUAUUUUUUAUCAAAUGCACCAAAUCAUUUUCGAAUGUCCAGUUAUUUUCCGUUUUAUUUUAUUUCAUAGGGGUAGCGAAGCGGUUGUUUGAGUCUCUUUAUCAUGAGGCUCAACCUUUUGCUUGCCUCACUUCUGGGUUCAUCUGUAAACAAUUUAUGUAUGUAGGUGUGAGCAGUAGGUACUUAAGUUGAAUAUGCCUCUUCAAAUGAAUAAACUAUGGUUUUAAUUUUUUACUGUCCCACCAUCUAGGCUUGUGUUCUGAUGAUUGAAAUUGUAUUCAUUCUUAGUUUUCCUAAAUUUUAGGAAGUUCUCUUGAUUGUUUCGUCUUGAAUAAUUCUAGUAGUUGGAUUUACCUGCCCAUCUCUCUUCUUUAUGUGACUUAAGUUAAAAAUAGUAUAUCACUGUAUAUAUUUUCCGUUGGAAGUUGAUUAUUAGACAUUACAUCUAAAGACUUCAUGUUCUUUUCUUACUUCUUUUGUAUUUAAUUGCAUGUGAAAUUCCUUCCGAGUCCAUUUUCGGAUUCCACUCCGUUCUUGCGUUUCGGGAGAGCCAUAAAGGCUCGGAAAUUCUGUCCAUCGAGUCAACCCGUCGAAGCCAAGGAUCGCGAAGAAGGAUGGAAGAGUUGAAGAAAGUCAAAGAACGGAUUGGAAGGCUUCGCCGUUUAUUUUUUGCAUUUUAUUUGUAAUGGGCAUAAGCCCUCUUGUCUUUUUUUUACUUUCUUAUUUUAUUUUGUAUGUUUAGAAUAGGACAGGUACAAAACGGGUCGAAUACCCAAAAGCAGGUGGGUCCAACAUUCGGUCAAGGCGAACAGAACCGAAGUUGGACCCAAAUCUCUCUCUCUCUCUCUCUUUACUAUUCGCUUACAUAUUUGCUCAAAUUUCAUUAGUUUUAGGAUUAUAAUAACUCCAAACCCCGCCGAACACCUUUCAUUUUAUCGAACUUAAAAAAUUAAAACUGAAUCUUAAAAACAAUAAAUUUCAAAUUUUGCAAGUUUGUUUAGAGUAAAAGUUUAAAGGGUUCGACUAAAACAAAAUCUCAAAAUGAUAAAUUGUUUAAAAUUCAUGACAUGUUUAGAUGAAGCUUUAAAGAAGUUCAACUUUGGAAUAGAUUCGCAAAUUACAAGGUAAAUAAAAAAUAUUUCAACUUGUGAAUUUGGCUAAGUAAAUUCUGAUAAAAUUCAAACUUCAAUUCGCAAAGGUUAAAACAAAAAUAGUCAAAUAAGUUAAUCGCCGGAAAACCGUAAGUUAGCGGAGUGUCUUAGGUGUCAUACACCUUCCUAAGAUACUAAUAAAAAUCCCGAACCCCCUAAAAAUAGUUUCAAAAUAAUUUUUCUGUUUAAGUUGUUUUGGAAAUAAGUUUUCUUGAUUUUUUUCAAAAAAUUAAGUGGCGACUCCUAAAA